AGCAAACGCUGGCGGCGUGCCUAAUACAUGCAAGUCGAACGGGGAAAGUAGCAAUAUGAGUACUAGUGGCGCACGGGUGAGGAGCGCGUGGGUAAUCUGCCUUCGAGCGGGGGAUAACUAGUCGAAAGAUUAGCUAAUACCGCAUAAGACCACAAGAUCUGCGGAUCUAGGGGUCAAAGCAGCAAUGCACUUGAAGAUGAGCCCGCGUAAUAUUAGCUAGUUGGUGAGGUAACGGCUCACCAAGGCGAUGAUCUUUAGCUGGUCUGAGAGGAUGAUCAGCCACACUGGAACUGAGACACGGUCCAGACUCCUACGGGAGGCAGCAGUAGGGAAUAUUGCGCAAUGGGGGCAACCCUGACGCAGCGACGCCGCGUGAGUGAUGAAGGCCUUCGGGUCGUAAAGCUCUGUUAUAUGGGAAUAAGUUCUGAAUGUACCAUGUGAGAAAGGAUCGGCUAACUUCGUGCCAGCAGCCGCCGUAA
Molecule: ribosomal RNA, 479 nt
Filed under: uncultured bacterium
Lineage: Bacteria
Description: partial 16S ribosomal RNA
Rfam family: Bacterial small subunit ribosomal RNA
Source: RNAcentral